AAAGUUAGUCUCCAAACUCCUCCGAAACGGCUCGACCGAUUCCUCUGAAAUUUGGUAAGCAUAUUGAGUAGGUCUGAGAAUCGGCUAACAUCUAUUUUUCACACCCCUAAAUAAUAAGGGUGGUCCACCCCUCAAAUUUUUUUUUUCAUUUUUUCGACAAAAUUUUUUUUAUUUAUUUUUUUAUGAUACGAUAUUCAAAAAUACAUACAACCCUAAGUUUUUGCCCUUCUAUCACCAACCCCUAUUUUUUAUUAAUCAUUUUAGUAAUUUAAUUAAUUUUUAAAAUUUUCCGCGCUUUUACUCUGGAUACUCAUUGGCCAGACUAUAUCGGUGUAACUACCCAGUGAACAACGCGGAGUGGGGAUGAGACCGAAGCCGGUCUCCUGUUUCUCUCACUCCUUCCACAGUUGUCGGCCAUCAUUAAUGUUUAUGUGUGUUUAUGCAUCAAACUUAGUAGUGACGUUUACUGUCAGUGUAUCUCUCAUUAUUAAUUAUAAAUAAUACUAAUAAUAACUCUCUUAAAUUAAUUAUACAAUUAAUUAAUUAAUAGUAAAUUAAUAAUAUAAGAUAAGAUAAUAAUAUCUGUUAUUAUUAAUUAUAACCUAAAAAUAUUCAACACGUGUCAGGGGUCCCUACCAACAACGACUUUUGUGUUGUUGUAAGUAUAUUUAUUUUUAUACUCAAAUUGUUGUUAAUAACAAUAUAAUUACGAUGUUUUUCAUUCUUAAGUAAUUUAAUAAGUGUUUGUUAAUCAAGGUAAGUUCACAUCUUCAUAUUGAUUUUUAGUAACUUUUGGUGACAAUACUACAAUUUGGUAUACAUGGUUAUGCAGAAAAUGUAUGAGAGCUUUUUAUUUUCAGUUGGAAUUUCGUUUUUAACAAUGCUACCAACCAGACGUACAAGCUUAGGCCGCAGAACUCGAAAUACGGCAAGUCAAAGAAAUAUAAGAACAAAUCAAACUGAUGAGCAACGCGAAGCGCGAAAUGAACUUGAACUGAAUCGAUAUCAAGAUAGACAUGUUGUGUUUAAUCCCCACAAAGCUGCAUUCAGUUAUAAUGUGGCAAUUGAUUACAGUUCAGAGCAAAUUGUUGCUAUUGGACUAAUGAACAUUGUGUGUCCACAUUGGGAUUGAAAUUAAAAAAUGAAGCCUCUGGAUUGUGUUGCGCCAGCGGCCAAGUCAAAUUGACGCCAUUGGUACCGCCACCAGAGCCACUACAUUCAUUGGUUCAUUUUUUGACUCAUAUCCAGCGGUACAAUAAUUGCUUUCAAAUGACAUCAUUUGGGGCAACAAAAGUUAUACGAGACAAUUUUUUGUCUACUUUUAGCAAAUUCAGGGAUUCAAAUAUAUCAUCAAACAGGUUCCUUAUUGCCAGUGCCUGUUGAAGACUGUACAUUUUUGCAAAUAUAUUUUAUGGACAAUCCAGCAAGAGAAGUCGAUCAGCGUUGCGCACACAACAACUCAGUAAAAAGAUCCAUUGUGAUGAACAACUUCAAACAUGUUUCCAUCAACACAAUGAUUAGUUGCAUUAUUCACAAAUGCAUUAGACCGCAUACCAUCAGAUAAUCACAAAAUUGUCAUCAGAGCCGAUAAGGCGCCUGCAGGACAAAAUGCUGGACAUUUUAAUGUGCCAACAAUUGAUAAAGAGCGCGCGUGGUAUUUAGCUCAAUGUUUACUUAAAAAUGCCAAGUUCUUCAAUAGCGAUUUGUAAAAAUAUUUGUGAAAUUAUUGAAUCCUAUGGAAUAAUCACUAUUAUGAAAAUA
Long non-coding RNA from Spodoptera frugiperda (fall armyworm), 1761 nucleotides. RefSeq lists it as uncharacterized. NCBI's taxonomy places the organism in Eukaryota, Metazoa, Arthropoda, Insecta, Lepidoptera, Noctuidae. The transcript is spliced from 2 exons. The record is from RefSeq and is a predicted model, not a curated record.